CCGGGUCGGCUCGGUCCGGUUCACUUUCUGUCCUCAAAGAAAGAAAGAGCGGCUCUUUCACCCCCGGGAGGCGCGCGCCAACUUCUGCUUCAAGCACGAGCACAAAGUGACACAGGUUCCUGAAAGAGGCAACAGGUGGUUUCUGGACUACGUUGGAUCAAAUGGCUGCAUUGGUUUCAGC
Molecule: long non-coding RNA, 181 nt
Filed under: Oryzias sinensis (Chinese medaka)
Lineage: Eukaryota; Metazoa; Chordata; Actinopteri; Beloniformes; Adrianichthyidae
Description: lncRNA (ENSOSIG00000017135.1)
Source: RNAcentral